This is a ribosomal RNA of Ochotona princeps (American pika), 106 nucleotides long. Lineage: Eukaryota; Metazoa; Chordata; Mammalia; Lagomorpha; Ochotonidae. The record is from Ensembl.
GUCUACAGCCAUACCACCCUGAAUGCGCCUGAUCUCGUCUGAUCUCGGAAGCUAAGCAGGGUCGGGCUUGGUUAGUACUUGGAAGAGAGAAAUUUUUCCAAAGAUA